This 2606-nucleotide long non-coding RNA is filed under the name Homo sapiens (human). Its description in RNAcentral is "HSALNT0072403". The record is from RNAcentral. Lineage: Eukaryota; Metazoa; Chordata; Mammalia; Primates; Hominidae.
GUGUUUUGGUUACCAACACCUCCAGAGAAACUCCCUGUUCUCCAAAUGAUUACAAGAGCUUCUGGGAAGAACAGGAAUCUGUAGGAGCAAACAGGAAAUGGAAGAUGGCACAGCCGGCAUGACAACCCAUGUCUUCAACUUCUCAGUGAAGACUCUUUCUACCAUCCUAUACAUCUCAAGCCCAGUGGUUCUCAAAGAAUGGUCCCUGGAUCCCAGCAUCAGCAGUGCGUGGGAACUUGUCUGAUAUGAAAAUUCUCCAGCCCUACCACAGAUCUCCUGAAUCAGAAACUCUGAGGAUGAGGUCCUGGAAUCCAUGUUGUAACAAGCCCUCUGGAUGAUUCAGACGCAUGCUUGAAUUUAAGGACCAUUGCACUAUUUUAACCUUGUAUAAGAGGAAAAGUGGAAGGAAAUUGAGAUAAUUGACUGAGAAAUAUGUGAUGUCUGUCAUGAAAGGUUUGAAAGAUGUGUAUGUAGAAGAUGGAACAGUUUUGUUCUGUGCUGUUUCAGAAGCUUUUUAAUAAACUUAAGAAAGAACAUUCUAAGAAACAGCCAUCGUAAUUUGAACAUUUUAGGAGGCAUUUCCAAUCACUAGAGAGAGUCAAACAGAGACCUAGGGCCCAUACAUGCCCACAGAGUGGGGCGGGAGAAAUUCUUAUACUGGGCAAUUACAGUUGGAGUUUCAGGGAGCCACAAAAUAGAUUUCUUUCUUUCCUGAGUUUGUAACCAAUUGAGAAAUAAGAAAGGGGAUUAAAAAGGAGGUCCAUCUUCAUUACUAGUAAAGCCUAGGGUGUAGAGCAUGUAUGUUCCAGAUGUUUUUCUUUUUUUCCUUCUUCUUGCCGUGUAAUAAGCCACCCAAAACAGUGACAUGAAGUAAUCAUUUAUUUCCUUCUGCUGUGAAAGUUGGCCAGGCUUAUCAGGGUAAGUUUCACUCAGGUCUCUCUUGUGUUUGUACUUAAAAGUGUCUGGAAAUGGGAGUAUGCAUGCACACAUCUAGCAACUGAGCUGAAAAGACUCCAUCAGCUGGGACUGGAAUGACAUCACUCCCCUACGCCUAUCCAUAUGGUGACCUCAGGGCACCUGGACUUCUUUCACAGAGACUGAACGGUCUCAAAGUGAGAGUCCCAAGAGAAACCAACAGAAGCUGUGUGGCUUUCUAACAGCCCCAGGAAUCAAGCUGAACCACGACCACAGCAUUCUGUUUAUUAAGACAGUCACAAAGUCCCACCCAGUUUCAAAGGGAGGGAUCAUAGACUACACAUCUUGAUGGGAAGAAUGUCAAGGAAUUUGCAGACAUGUUUUAAAACCACCACAUCAGUCUUUAAAACCUUCUCCCCUUGAACUGAACUUAGCCUCAAGCAGUAAACUUACCUCUUCUAGGCCAAAGAUUGAUAUAAGAAGCUUACUAACUGCCCUCUCUGCAGGCAGGCAGGGCUCCAGGACAGAAAAUGCUUCGUUUCUUUUUCAAAUUCACCAAUCAGAUAAGUUGUUCCUGAGUUGGGGAGAGAGGACUACCGGAGAGGGGACUACGACAGGCCAGGAGGGUUACACUGGAAGUAGUCCUCACAUGGAAACUUGAGCCCCAGAAAAUGUGGAUUACCUCAUCACAUGCAGUUAGAUUGGCUGGAACUCCUUUUAUUUUUAAGCUUUCAAGAAAUUAUGAAUUUUAAUUCCUAAAUAUUAUUUGUCUAUUUAGUUCCAGAAUAACUUAAUAUCUCUGGCAAUUCUUGUCCUCAAAGAGAAUAUGGACAUUUUGUCAUAAAUAUGUGUCAAUUGUAUUUAUUUGUUUAUUCAUUUAUUUCCAUUCCUAUCAAACUGCCUUAAUUUUUUUUAAACAUCUUUUUCUGAGAUAUAAAUCAUAUAGCACACAUUUCAUGCAUUUAAAGUAUCCAAUUCAAUGGUUUGGGGUAUAUUCACAGUUAUAAGCAACUAUCACAACACCCAAUUUUAGAGCAUUUUUGUCACUUUUUGAAAAAACUCUGUGCCCUUUAGCUAUCGUCUCCCUGUCCUUGCAUUCCCCCCCAGCCCUAAGCAACAACUACUUUAUUUUUUUGUCUUUAUAGAUUUGGACAUUUAAUCUAGAUAGAAUCAUGUAUAUGUGGUCUUUUGUGUUAGGCUUCUUUCACUUAGCACGCUGUUUUCAAGGUUAAUUCAUGUUGUAGCAUGUAUCAAUACCUCAUCCAUUUUCAUGGUCAAAUAAUAUUCCACUGUUUAGAUAUACCACAUUUUGUUUAUGCACUUAUCAAGAGAUGGACAUUUGGGUUGUUCCCACCUUUUGGUUAUAAACAUCUGUGUACAAGUUUAUGCGUGGACAUGCUUUCAUUUCUCUUGUGUAUAUACCUAGGAGUGCAAUUGCUGGGUCAUAGGGAUGAUUUGAAGAAUGUCAAAAUAUUUUCCAAAGUGGCUACACCUUUAUAUUGCCACUAGCCAUGGAUGAAGGUUCUUGUUUUUCCAGAUCUUCAACACUUGUUAUCAUCUGACUUUUUAAUUCUAGCCAUCCUAGUGGAUGUGAAGUAAUAUUUCAUUGUAGAUUUGAUUUGCAAUUCCCUGAUGACUAAUGAAGUUGAGCAUCUUAUAUGCUUAUUGGCCAUUUGUAUAUUGUCUUUGGA